GUCCAGAUCAUAAUCUUCUUGUGCCAUUGCAAGAAGUUUACCAUGUGUACUUGGCGCUGGCUUGAUACACAAAGGCGUACAAAGUGUGUCUUAGAGAACUCAAUCAGGUUCCGCACUUGUCGAUCAUUCAUGACAAGCAUAAGAAGAGUAUUCACAUAUUCGGAGUCAUUUGUUGUAAAAUGACGUUUGGUUAGCACCAUCUUCUCAUUUUGUUGUCCAGAUCAUAAUCUUCUUGUGCCAUUGCAAGAAGUUUACCAUGUGUACAACCAUCAUGCACAAGGAACAUUCUUCCUCCUUUCUGAUUAUUGACCACAAACUUCCACAAAGAAUCUUUCACCACCCAUUCUCCGUAUACAACAUGUAAGAGAGCUAUCUCCGGAAAAAAAUACAGUUUACAUAAUUAGCGGAGAAAUAUUUCAUGUUUCAUAAAACUAUAAAGGUAGACUUACAAAUACGUCUGCAAUUAUUAGCUAACAACAUAGUUAAAUCAAAAGUAUUAAAUUUUCAUAAUUAUAAC
RNAcentral lists this long non-coding RNA (517 nucleotides) under Brassica napus (rape). RNAcentral describes it as "long non-coding RNA (BNAP_LNC008071)". The record is from RNAcentral. Lineage: Eukaryota; Viridiplantae; Streptophyta; Magnoliopsida; Brassicales; Brassicaceae.